Molecule: long non-coding RNA, 521 nt
Filed under: Zostera marina
Lineage: Eukaryota; Viridiplantae; Streptophyta; Magnoliopsida; Alismatales; Zosteraceae
Description: long non-coding RNA (ZMAR_LNC000845)
Source: RNAcentral
GCCGCCGACGGGGCCGGUUUGGUCCAUGGGCCGCGGUCUGUAGUCCAUGGUACCAACACUUUCUGUUUAUCUGGGUUUUUAUUUCUACAGGUACUUCCAAAUGACUGUCAAAUUUGGAUACAAUGUUGUCACUGGAAAAUAUAACGAUGAAUUGUCUGUUGGAAUAAUCGAUCCUACUAAGGUAACUUGUUUCUAUAAUUAUCACUGUGGUUUAACUUGUUUAUAUUAUCUAUGCAGUCAUGUGGCUAACUAUGCAGUCAUUAGCAUCUAGUUGGAGGAAGUUGAUCGUCUAAUAGCAAUAUGUUGAUAGUUAUUCUUUAGAUUUUAACAGAACAUUGAUAGCAAUAUUUAUAGCCCAAUAUUAAAGCCCAUUAAUAUUGGACUCAUUUGAAAAUCAAAAUAUUUAACGGCAAAUAUGAGCGGCAAAUUGAUUUCCAAUCAGUCAAAUCAACAUGCAGAUUUUAAAUUUGUAUUUAUUCUAUUUAUUCUAUUUAUUAAAUUUUAAUUAAAUGUGUUUACUG